Molecule: transfer RNA, 77 nt
Filed under: Escherichia coli
Lineage: Bacteria; Pseudomonadati; Pseudomonadota; Gammaproteobacteria; Enterobacterales; Enterobacteriaceae
Also listed under: 25 other names
Description: tRNA-Glu
Rfam family: tRNA
About the family: Transfer RNA (tRNA) molecules are approximately 80 nucleotides in length.
Source: RNAcentral
GGUGCCUUCGUCUAAUUGGUUAGGACGCAAGCCUCUCAAGCUUGUAAUGCUGGGUUCAAAUCCCGCAGGCAUCACCA